GCGCCUGUGGCUCAGCUGGAUAGAGCAUCUGACUACGAAUCAGAGGGUCGGGAGUUCGAAUCUCUCCAGGCGCACCA
This 77-nucleotide transfer RNA is filed under the name Deltaproteobacteria bacterium GWB2_55_19. RNAcentral's name for it is "tRNA-Arg". It matches the Rfam family "tRNA". From Rfam's summary of the family: Transfer RNA (tRNA) molecules are approximately 80 nucleotides in length. RNAcentral also lists the same sequence under 2 other names. Lineage: Bacteria; Deltaproteobacteria. The record is from RNAcentral.